Molecule: ribosomal RNA, 372 nt
Filed under: uncultured organism
Description: partial 16S ribosomal RNA
Rfam family: Bacterial small subunit ribosomal RNA
Source: RNAcentral
GGAGGGCGCAAGCGUUGUCCGGAAUUACUGGGCGUAAAGGGGGCGCAGGCGGCAUGCUAAGUCCUGUGUGAAAGCCCGCGGCUCAACCGCGGAAAGCCACAGGAUACUGGCGAGCUUGAGACGGGUAGAGGCGAGUGGAAUUCCCGGUGUAGCGGUGGAAUGCGUAGAUAUCGGGAAGAACACCAGUGGCGAAGGCGACUCGCUGGGCCCGUUCUGACGCUCAGGCCCGAAAGCGUGGGGAGCAAACAGGGAUUAGAUACCCUGGUAGUCCACGCCGUAAACGAUGGGCACUAGGUGCUGGGGAGUGUGACCUCUUCGGUGCCGUAGCUAACGCGUUAAGUGCCCCGCCUGGGGAGUACGGCCGCAAGGCUG